Molecule: ribosomal RNA, 253 nt
Filed under: uncultured bacterium
Lineage: Bacteria
Description: partial 16S ribosomal RNA
Rfam family: Bacterial small subunit ribosomal RNA
Source: RNAcentral
UACAGAGGUCUCAAGCGUUGUUCGGAUUCAUUGGGCGUAAAGGGUGUGUAUGUGGCGCGCUAAGUCGGGUGUGAAAUUUCGGAGCUUAACUCCGAAACUGCAUUCGAUACUGGCGUGCUUGAGGACUGGAGAGGAGACUGGAAUUCAUGGUGUAGCAGUGAAAUGCGUAGAGAUCAUGAGGAAGACCAGUGGCGAAGGCGGGUCUCUGGACAGUUCCUGACACUGAGACACGAAGGCCAGGGGAGCAAACGGG